GCCCUAGUUAGCCUAAAAACGAGAACGAUGCGAUUUGCAAAUCCUUCGUUCCAAGCGGUCUGCUUCCUUCGCUUUCCGAGAGCUGGAAGGGGCAGAUCUUUCCCUCAAAAAAUCCAAUGUACGCGGAUCUUUCUGCUAGGGCAGAAUUGAUCCGACUCCUCCUCAACCUCACAUGGGGAUUUUGCUUCCAGUUGAAGCAGAUCAAUAUACUUUUGAUUGGGAGCCAUUGCGGAAAUUCAGGUACCUUGAGCUUGGAAUUGGAUAUGCCGAAGAAAGGACUAUAGCAUAUGCGGAGAAAAUUCGCGUGGAGGUCCCUUUUCUUGCUAGUGGGAUCGUGGUCCCAAUUCUCUCACCAUCAAUCCCCUGCCUCCUUUCUAGGCUAAUUACCCUCCCACUCCGGCAGAAGAUUGUUUCCAAUUUCUGGCUGUAAGAGCAAGGGAGUUCCUGGUGAAAGCUAUCCCUGCUGAAUGACGCUUGAGGGAUUUUAUAUGAGGCAAAUCAAGCCCUGGUAAUAUACUUCUUCAUUCCCUUUUUCUUUCUUUUUUGCUCAACUUUUUUUUUCAUUCUUGAAUUAGGGAGAGAAAUCCUUGAUAUUUCUCCUAACUUGACUCCUAAAAUUAAUAUUGAGAAACUUGUGAUGCCAUGCAUUUGGUUUCUUUUGAAUGAUUUGCUUGAAUGCUUCCAUUUCCUAUUUCAGUAAACCCAACAUUGGGUGAAGUGUGUUAGAACAAGAAGAUUUUUUGUUGCUGUGAAAUGCCAAUUUAGAAGGCUUUUCAAGGAGGGGCCUCAAACAUGGGAAACCCCUUUUGCCAUUAUCAUUAUCAUUGAUCAAAGUUCUUGCCAAGAAAAUUAAGAGCUUUGUCUGAUACUGGAAAAUAUUAUUUUGAAUAUUACACACCUAUAGUUUUGCAUAUGAUCUCCAUGGAGACAUUCAGUAUUUUAGGGGCAUGAGUGAUGCAUGGAAUGCAUUUGUCUGAAUCUCCAGGCAGAGCAAGCUUUGAUCUAAAUGCAGGCAUAGAAUGGUAGAAUAAUAAUGAAAUUGAGGUUUUUGGAAGGUGGGAGGAUUGCUGAAAGCAGAAGGAAAAAGUUUUUUUUUUUUCCCUUAAUUAGAUUUGGCAAGUGGACGAUACAUUUUUCAUGUAGAAUUUAAUGAACCUGUUUUUGUUUUUGUUCUGACAACUUUAUAGUGUUGAUUGUGGGAUUGGCUUUGUUCUGAUCUGUUCUUUGGUGUUUUUGGUUAUUUAUUACUAGACCAUUGUGUACUUGUUAAUAAAAUUUAAACCCCACUCCUCUUUUUCGGAAAAAUUUUUAAAAGAAAAAGAAAAAGAAAAGAGAUGCAUAAUAUCGGCUUGGGGAGCACGUACUCACUGGGUACUGGCCACUUCCACAUUUUGAAAUUUCAAAAUGAAAGGAUAAAAAAUGUAUGAAUUUUUGAGAGCUAAGCACGUUUGAUUUGCGGGCUGAGGUGAGAACAACUUUGGCAACAGAAAAGGAGAUGGAGGUGGAGAUUAAAGAGGCGACUAAGUUGCUGCCACCUCAAUCUUCAAGGUUGGUUCUUGCCACUUGUGCAGCUCCAGGCAAGAUAUCAAAACACAGAUGGUCUGUUCCCAGCACCUGGUGCAAAUUGUAAGCGUGUUCUGCACUCUUUUGCCUUCUUCCCCAUUGUUUUUAAUUUUUGAUUUGCUGCUGCUGCUGCUGCUGCUAGCUUCUAUUGUUGUUCUUUUCACUAAUUAUGCACCUCACAGUCCCCAGUUAUAAAGCAAGUUUAAGGCUCAUAUAAAAUGAUAUGAUCCCUUGCGGUGCGCUCUUCUUUA
Long non-coding RNA from Malania oleifera, 1814 nucleotides. RefSeq lists it as uncharacterized. The transcript is spliced from 2 exons. NCBI's taxonomy places the organism in Eukaryota, Viridiplantae, Streptophyta, Magnoliopsida, Santalales, Ximeniaceae. The record is from RefSeq and is a predicted model, not a curated record.